This 456-nucleotide ribosomal RNA is filed under the name uncultured bacterium. RNAcentral describes it as "bacterial SSU rRNA". It matches the Rfam family "Bacterial small subunit ribosomal RNA", at positions 37 to 507 of the family's 1533-position model. The record is from RNAcentral.
UGGCGGCGUGCCUCAGACAUGCAAGUCCGAACGAUUAAAGCUCUCUUCGGAGAGUGUAUAGAGUGGCGCACGGGUGAGUAACACGUAAGUAAUCUACCCUCGAGUGGGGAAUAACAACCGGAAACGGUUGCUAAUACCGCAUAAUGCAGCGGCACCGCAAGGUGACAGUUGUUAAAGAUUUAUCGCUUGAGGAGGAGCUUGCGGCAGAUUAGCUAGUUGGUAGGGUAACGGCUUACCAAGGCUACGAUCUGUAACCGGUCUAAGAGGACGGUCGGUCACACUGACACUGAAUAACGGGUCAGACUCCUACGGGAGGCAGCAGUCGGGAAUUUUGGGCAAUGGGCGAAAGCCUGACCCAGCAACGCCGCGUGAAGGAUGAAGUAUUUCGGUAUGUAAACUUCGAAAGAUAGGAAGAAUUAAUGACGGUACUAUUUAUAAGGUCCGGCUAACUACGUG